CACCAAUGGCGGAGCGAGAGGCCGAGCUAGCUUUCCAAAUUAGGCGGGCGAAGCUUGAGAGUUUCGAAAUAAAAGAAGGCUUGCAGCUACCAGAAAGUCAUCAAGGCAUUAGUUUCUCUGAGAAGACAGAUCUGAAGAAAAUGCAAGAAAACGAGAAAAAAUAUCAACAAGGUGAGCUUAUUCUGCCAUUCCUUUAUGUAGCUAUAGUGUAUAUUUCCUGUAAAAUGAGUAAUUUCUUAUGAUAGCACAGAGCAGUAAAAG
Molecule: long non-coding RNA, 261 nt
Filed under: Capra hircus (goat)
Lineage: Eukaryota; Metazoa; Chordata; Mammalia; Artiodactyla; Bovidae
Description: lncRNA (ENSCHIG00000004148.1)
Source: RNAcentral